AUUGGACGCUGGCGGCAGGCUUAACACAUGCAAGUCGAGCGGAGAGAGGUAGCUUGCUACUGAUCUUAGCGGCGGACGGGUGAGUAAUGCUUAGGAAUCUGCCUAUUAGUGGGGGACAACAUUUCGAAAGGAAUGCUAAUACCGCAUACGUCCUACGGGAGAAAGCAGGGGAUCUUCGGACCUUGCGCUAAUAGAUGAGCCUAAGUCGGAUUAGCUAGUUGGGGGGGUAAAGGCCUACCAAGGCGACGAUCUGUAGCGGGUCUGAGAGGAUGAGCCGCCACACUGGGACGGAGACACGGCCCAGAAUCCUACGGGAGGCAGCAGUGGGGAAUAUUGGACAACGGGGGGAACCCUGAUCCAGCCAUGCCGCGUGUGUGAAGAAGGCCUUAUGGUUGUAAAGCACUUUAAGCGAGGAGGAGGCUACUUAGAUUAAUACUCUGGGAUAGUGGACGUUACUCGCAGAAUAAGCACCGGCUAACUCUGUGCCAGCCGCCGCGGUAA
RNAcentral lists this ribosomal RNA (501 nucleotides) under uncultured bacterium. RNAcentral's name for it is "partial 16S ribosomal RNA". It matches the Rfam family "Bacterial small subunit ribosomal RNA", at positions 30 to 523 of the family's 1533-position model. The record is from RNAcentral.